UACAGGGGGUGCAAACGUUGCUCGGAAUUAUUGGGCGUAAAGCUCGCGUAGGCGGCCACUUAAGUCGGAUGUGAAAGCCCCUGGCUCAACUGGGGAAGUGCACCCGAAACUGAAUGGCUUGAAUGCAAAAGAGGGUCGCGGAAUUCCCGGUGUAGAGGUGAAAUUCGUAGAUAUCGGGAGGAACACCGGUGGCGAAGGCGGCGACCUGGGUUGACAUUGACGCUGAGGCGCGAAAGCGUGGGGAGCAAACAGG
RNAcentral lists this ribosomal RNA (253 nucleotides) under uncultured bacterium. RNAcentral describes it as "partial 16S ribosomal RNA". It matches the Rfam family "Bacterial small subunit ribosomal RNA", at positions 524 to 776 of the family's 1533-position model. The record is from RNAcentral.